CCCUUAGAUGUUCUGGGCUGCACGCGUGCUACAAUGGCGCUUGCAACAAGAUUGCCAACCCGAUAGGGUGAGCGGAUCUUUGAAGAGGCGUCGUGAUCGGGACAGUUGAUUGCAAUUAUUCGACUCGAACGAGGAAUUCCUUGUAAUCGCGAUUCAUCAUAUCGCGCUGAAUACGUCCCUGCCCUUUGUACACACCGCCCGUCGCUCCUACCGAUUGAGCGAUCCGGUGAAUGUUUUGGACUGGCGUCAGAAGCGGUUCGCUCCUGACACUACGAAAUUUUGUAAACCUUAUCGCUUAGAGGAAGGAAAAGUCGUAACA
This 319-nucleotide ribosomal RNA is filed under the name uncultured eukaryote. RNAcentral describes it as "partial 18S ribosomal RNA". It matches the Rfam family "Eukaryotic small subunit ribosomal RNA", at positions 1470 to 1796 of the family's 1831-position model. The record is from RNAcentral.